This 84-nucleotide transfer RNA is filed under the name Ascochyta rabiei. RNAcentral describes it as "Didymella rabiei tRNA". It matches the Rfam family "tRNA". From Rfam's summary of the family: Transfer RNA (tRNA) molecules are approximately 80 nucleotides in length. Their secondary structure includes four short double-helical elements and three loops (D, anti-codon, and T loops). RNAcentral also lists the same sequence under 1 other name. Lineage: Eukaryota; Fungi; Ascomycota; Dothideomycetes; Pleosporales; Didymellaceae. The record is from Rfam by way of RNAcentral.
GCCCGUUUGGCUUAGUGGUACAGCGUCUCACUCGUAAACUUCUGCGUAAUGAGAAGAUCCUCGGUUCGAUUCCGAGAAUGGGCA